CCUACGGGCGGCAGCAGUGAGGAAUAUUGGUCAAUGGCCGGAAGGCUGAACCAGCCAUGCCGCGUGAAGGUCAGUGCCCUAUGGGCGUUAAACUUCUUUUGUGCGGGAGCAAUAAUGGUCACGUGUGGCCAGACGAGAGUACCGUACGAAUAAGCAUCGGCUAACUCCGUGCCAGCAGCCGCGGUAAUACGGGGGAUGCAAGCGUUAUCCGGAUUUAUUGGGGUUAAAGGGUGCGUAGGCUGUGAGGUAAGUCAGCGGUGAAAUGCCCCCGCUCAACGGGGUGAAGUGCCAUUGAUACUGCCUUGCUGGAAUGCGGAUGCCGUGGGAGGAAUGUGUGGUGUAGCGGUGAAAUGCAUAGAUAUCACACAGAACACCGAUUGCGAAGGCAUCUCACGAAUCCGCGAUUGACGCUGAUGUACGAAAGCGUGGGUAUCAAACAGGAUUAGAUACCCGUGUAGUC
This 460-nucleotide ribosomal RNA is filed under the name uncultured bacterium. RNAcentral's name for it is "partial 16S ribosomal RNA". It matches the Rfam family "Bacterial small subunit ribosomal RNA", at positions 338 to 795 of the family's 1533-position model. The record is from RNAcentral.